CGGCGUGCUUAACANAUGCAAGUCGAACGAGAACGGAUUAUAGCUUGCUAUAAUUGUCAGCUAAGUGGCGCACGGGUGAGUAAUGUAUAGAUAACCUGCCCUCAAGAAAGGAAUAACAGUUGGAAACGACUGCUAAUGCCCUAUAUGUCCUUUAAUACAUAAGUAUGCAAGGGAAACGCUUUAGUGCUUGAGGAUGGGACUGUAUGGUAUCAGUUAGUUGGUGAGGUAAUGGCUCACCAAGACUAUGACGCCUAACUGGUUUGAGAGGAUGAUCAGUCGCACUGGAACUGAGACACGGUCCAGACUCCUACGGGAGGCAGCAGUGGGGAAUAUUGCACAAUGGACGAAAGUCUGAUGCAGCAACGCCGCGUGGAGGAUGACACAUUUCGGUGCGUAAACUCCUUUUAUAUAGGAAGAUAAUGACGGUACUAUAUGAGUAAGCACCGGCUAACUCCGUG
Molecule: ribosomal RNA, 458 nt
Filed under: uncultured bacterium
Lineage: Bacteria
Description: bacterial SSU rRNA
Rfam family: Bacterial small subunit ribosomal RNA
Source: RNAcentral